GGCCCGGUGGUGAAAUUGGUAUACACGCAAGACUUAAAAUCUUGUGACAGCAAUGUCGUGUGGGUUCGAGUCCCACCCGGGCCA
Molecule: transfer RNA, 84 nt
Filed under: Candidatus Curtissbacteria bacterium RIFOXYA1_FULL_41_14
Lineage: Bacteria; Candidatus Curtissiibacteriota
Also listed under: 3 other names
Description: tRNA-Leu
Rfam family: tRNA
About the family: Transfer RNA (tRNA) molecules are approximately 80 nucleotides in length. Their secondary structure includes four short double-helical elements and three loops (D, anti-codon, and T loops). Further hydrogen bonds mediate the characteristic L-shaped molecular structure. tRNAs have two regions of fundamental functional importance: the anti-codon, which is responsible for specific mRNA codon recognition, and the 3' end, to which the tRNAs corresponding amino acid is attached (by aminoacyl-tRNA synthetases). tRNAs cope with the degeneracy of the genetic code in two manners: having more than one tRNA (with a specific anti-codon) for a particular amino acid; and 'wobble' base-pairing, i.e. permitting non-standard base-pairing at the 3rd anti-codon position.
Source: RNAcentral